RNAcentral lists this ribosomal RNA (253 nucleotides) under uncultured bacterium. RNAcentral's name for it is "partial 16S ribosomal RNA". It matches the Rfam family "Bacterial small subunit ribosomal RNA", at positions 524 to 776 of the family's 1533-position model. The record is from RNAcentral.
UACGGAGGGUGCAAACGUUGCUCGGAAUUACUGGGCGUAAAGGGCGCGUAGGCGGCCCGCUAAGUCGAACGUGAAAUCCCCGGGCUCAACCCGGGAACUGCGUCCGAUACUGGCAGGCUUGAAUCCGGGAGAGGGAUGUGGAAUUCCAGGUGUAGCGGUGAAAUGCGUAGAUAUCUGGAGGAACACCGGUGGCGAAGGCGGCAUCCUGGACCGGUAUUGACGCUGAGGCGCGAAAGCUAGGGGAGCAAACGGG